Arachis ipaensis is the source of this 351-nucleotide non-coding RNA. The record is from RefSeq and is a predicted model, not a curated record. NCBI's taxonomy places the organism in Eukaryota, Viridiplantae, Streptophyta, Magnoliopsida, Fabales, Fabaceae.
ACACAUAUGACAUACUGUCUGGCGAUCAUGGUUUCAGAAAGGUAAGAAGAAUGGAAAGUAAAGAAACUGCAUUGAUAUUCAUGCAUGAAGAAUAUAAAAUCCUCAAGCGCUACAAAAAUAAUAGAAGUUCUUUCAAGAGGGCCAUCUCCUUUCUCUAAAGCACAAUGUUGUGAGCUACAAGAUUCAGCAGCUUAAGUUUUUGCCUAUAAACCGUGAAACUCAACAAUAUUAUGUUUGGAUUAUUGAUAUUUAUCUUUUAAUUUCUUUAUUUUCUACACAAAAAAUGACAAAGAGAUAGAAUAAGUUAAUGACUUUUAAUAAGUUUUAUAUGUAUUGAUAUUUUUAUCCCAA